This 207-nucleotide ribosomal RNA is filed under the name uncultured bacterium. Its description in RNAcentral is "partial 16S ribosomal RNA". It matches the Rfam family "Bacterial small subunit ribosomal RNA", at positions 568 to 774 of the family's 1533-position model. The record is from RNAcentral.
GAAGUAGGCGGCUUGGUCAGUGAGACGUGAAAUGCUUCGGCUCAACCGAAGACUUGCGUUUCAUACUGCCAAGCUUGAGGCCGGGAGGGGAGACGGGAAUUCCUGGUGUAGCGGUGAAAUGCGCAGAUAUCAGGAAGAACACCGGUGGCGAAGGCGCGUCUCUGGACCGGUUCUGACGCUAAACUCCGAAAGUGUGGGUAGCAAACA